UACGAAGGGGGCUAGCGUUGCUCGGAAUCACUGGGCGUAAAGCGCACGUAGGCGGAUUGCUAAGUCAGGGGUGAAAUCCUGGAGCUCAACUCCAGAACUGCCUUUGAUACUGAAGAUCUUGAGUUCGGGAGAGGUGAGUGGAACUGCGAGUGUAGAGGUGAAAUUCGUAGAUAUUCGCAAGAACACCAGUGGCGAAGGCAGCCCCCUGGGCCAACACUGACGCUCAGGCACGAAAGCGUGGGGAGCAAACAGG
This 253-nucleotide ribosomal RNA is filed under the name uncultured bacterium. RNAcentral describes it as "partial 16S ribosomal RNA". It matches the Rfam family "Bacterial small subunit ribosomal RNA", at positions 524 to 776 of the family's 1533-position model. The record is from RNAcentral.